UGGCGCCGCGUGGGUCCGGACCCGGUUACCUUCUUCAGUGCACUGGGGAGGGUGAGGCCCAGGAAAGAAGUGGCUGAGGCAGAGAGAAAGACGGCUGUGGAGGAGGAGGAGCAGAGUAGGGGGAAAACCCAGCUAAUUGAAAUUAAGAGUGAUCACGUGACCCAAGAGCGCACAAUCCAUGAUGUAGUCAUCAUCCUGCGAGGUGACCUGGAGCAAACAGUUCUCAUCAAACACGGACUCUGAUAGUUGGGAGAUGGAGUCUCGCUCUUUCACCCAGGCUGGAGUGCAGUAGCGCGAUCUCGGCUAACUACAACCUCCACCUCCCAGAUUCAAGCAAUUCUCCUGCCUCAGCCUCCCGAGUAGCUGGGAUUACAGGCAUGUGCCACCAUGCCCGGCUAAUUUUUUUGUAUUUUUAGUGGAGGCAGGGUUUCACCAUAUUGGCCAGGCUGGUCUCGAACUCCUGACCUUGUGAUCCACCUGCCUCGACCUCCCAAAGUGCUGGGAUUACAGGCGUGAGCCACUGCACCCGGCCAAGAUGGUAUUUUCAACAAAUGGUGCUGGGUCACUGGAUAUUCACAUGGAAAAUAAUAAAUUUGACCCCUAUCUC
This is a long non-coding RNA of Pongo pygmaeus (Bornean orangutan), 607 nucleotides long. RefSeq lists it as uncharacterized. NCBI's taxonomy places the organism in Eukaryota, Metazoa, Chordata, Mammalia, Primates, Hominidae. The record is from RefSeq and is a predicted model, not a curated record. The transcript has 3 exons.